Molecule: ribosomal RNA, 837 nt
Filed under: uncultured bacterium
Lineage: Bacteria
Description: bacterial SSU rRNA
Rfam family: Bacterial small subunit ribosomal RNA
Source: RNAcentral
CUGCAUGGCGAGCUUACCAUGCAAGUCGACGGUCCUUUCGGGGAUAGUGGCGGACGGGUGAGUAACGCGUGAGAAUCUGCCUUUAGGACGGGGACAACAGUUGGAAACGGCUGCUAAAACCCGAUGUGCCCUUCGGGGUGAAAUAUUUAUAGCCUGAAGAUGAGCUCGCGUCUGAUUAGCUAGUAGGUGAGGUAAAGGCUCACCUAGGCGACGAUCAGUAACUGGUCUGAGAGGAUGACCAGUCACACUGGGACUGAGACACGGCCCAGACUCCUACGGGAGGCAGCAGUGGGGAAUUUUCCGCAAUGGGCGCAAGCCUGACGGAGCAAUACCGCGUGAGGGAGGAAGGCUCUUGGGUCGUAAACCUCUUUUAUCAGGGAAGAACACAAUGACGGUACCUGAUGAAUCAGCAUCGGCUAACUCUGUGCCAGCAGCCGCGGUAAUACAGAGGAUGCAAGCGUUAUCCGGAAUUAUUGGGCGUAAAGCGUCCGCAGGUGGUUUUGAAAGUUUGCUGUCAAAGCGCGAGGCUCAACUUCGUAACGGCGGUGAAAACUUCAAGACUAGAGCUAGGUAGGGGUCACGGGAAUUCCCAGUGUAGCGGUGAAAUGCGUAGAUAUUGGGAAGAACACCAGCGGCGAAAGCGCGUGACUGGGCCUGAGCUGACACUCAUGGACGAAAGCUAGGGGAGCGAAAGGGAUUAGAUACCCCUGUAGUCCUAGCCGUAAACGAUGACAACUAGGUGUUGCCCGUAUCGACCCGGGCAGUGCCGUAGCCAACGCGUUAAGUUGUCCGCCUGGGGAGUACGCACGCAAGUGUGAAACUCAAAGGAAUUGACGG